Long non-coding RNA from Quercus robur (English oak), 683 nucleotides. RefSeq lists it as uncharacterized. The record is from RefSeq and is a predicted model, not a curated record. The transcript is spliced from 2 exons. Lineage: Eukaryota; Viridiplantae; Streptophyta; Magnoliopsida; Fagales; Fagaceae.
CUCUCUAUACAUUCCUCUCUCCAUUUCUCUCUCUCACUCUCUUCUAAAAGCCUUUUUCUCUCUAGGCUGCCUCACGAUGCCUCUUCAAGAACAAACCAUCCUAGAUCAAUGGGAAAGUCCCUCUCUAGUUUCUGCACAUCCAAGGAAUGAUGAAAAAUUAGUUGUUUGCAAGGAUCGUGGAGCUAAUGUUUGCAUCAAUUACAAGAUGAAGGAUUUUGUUAAAAGGGUGAAGGAAGAAACUGGUGGAAAAUGUAUUUUCUCUAAUAUUGAAACCUCACUUUUCUUCAACUACAGAUUAGUGAAACUAAAGAAUAUGAUUAUUAUUUUGUUAAGUGGACAUUUUCAUAGGGAGGUCUUUGUUAUUGUUUGUUAUUGUCAAGGAAGUUAAUAAUUUAUUUCCUUUUUCAAGGCAUAUAAGCUGCACUUUUGGGAGUAUCUAGGCUACCAUGGAAAAGAAAGAACACUGCUAAGAGCCUAAAAACAACUUUUUGUUGCUCUUUGGGGCCAUGUUUAACUUUGCCUUGCGGUGAAAAAUGAGACUACAUCAUACAAAAAUACAAUACCUCUGCAGAAUGUACAUCAAUAUAGACUUAUAGAAAUACGACCAUAUACAGUAAUGAAGAUAUAUUUCCAUCCAUGAGAAGUGGAAGCAUCCAAGCAUAAACAAAUUAUUUUCUUAUUUA